Amphiprion ocellaris (clown anemonefish) is the source of this 9607-nucleotide RNA transcript. It is a transcript of the gene named ABC transporter F family member 4-like, with no coding region annotated. The record is from RefSeq and is a predicted model, not a curated record. The transcript is spliced from 17 exons. Lineage: Eukaryota; Metazoa; Chordata; Actinopteri; Pomacentridae.
CGCACACGUGCACACGCAGAAUAGCGUGCAAGAAGUGAAGUGUUAAUAAGUGGACAAUAAUAUUGGAGUGUGUCCGGUGCUGCAGUCGGUCGUGAUGGCUUCAGAGGAGGACAACGCGCUGCUCUUCCUCAUCUACCAGCACCUGAAGGUCAGCGGCUUCAGCAGAGCCGCCAGGCUGCUGGAGAAGCACGUUUCUCAGGUGGAGACACCAGAGGAGAGUUCUAACCUACAUGACAUCUACACGGGCUGGAUGAAGCUGUGCUCUCUGGCCCAACAUGCCAAGCAGGAGACAGAAGACUCCAACGAUCUAAAGAAGGAAAGCAUCAAACCAGAACCUGCCACCAGCGAAGAAGAAGGUGCUGCAGAGACUGAACCCUCCAACACCACCGAAGAAGAGUCCAAAGCAGAUGUUGUCGAUUCAUCAAACGGAGAUGCUGAUAAAGACUCUGAGCAGCUGCUGGAUGUCGCUGAUAAAACUCAAACAUCAAACUCAGGCAGCGAAGAAGAAAAGAUGGAGGAGCAGGAGACGGAAACAAAGCCAGAGUCAGCUACUACUGAAGUGUCUGCUGAGGCCACGAACAAGGCAGAAAGUUCCAAUUGUGCCUCUUCAGACUCUGAAGAAAUGGCUGAACCCACCGAGGGCGACCCCGAGCAACCAGCCUCUGAUCAGACUGAAGGACACCUGCAGGCUGAAGGUCCAGCCGAGAAGAUGGAGGCGGAUGAACUGAAGCAGGAGCCACAGGCUGCCACAAACCCCUCCGAGGUCGCAGAUGAAGCUUCUGCAUCUGAGCAGACUCAUGCCGAUCGAACUAAAGCUCCAGUUUGUGUCACUCAGGAGGACGGCGAGUCCUCAGAAGAUGAGCAAGAAACAGCUGCAGAGAAGCCCAGCGAGGCCGAGCCCAGCACUGCAGAGCCGACGGCCGAGGAGGCCAAUGAGCAGCCGGUAGAGACCGAAGCCCCGCCCCCUGCAGGAAAAAGAAGCUCCUUGCACCUCCUUUUCACUGGAAACACUUCAUCUCUAGCUGUUGAAGCACAGAACAUUCGGAUCAUUUCACUUUAUUGGAAGAAAAAUGGAAACAGAAAAGAAAAUGCUGACAGUGGCGAUAAAAAUCCAAAAGAGGAUGACGACGCGAAAGUAGAGGAGGAGGAGGAGAAAUCUGAGAAACCUGAAGACGAGGCGGAGAAGUCGACGAGCCAAAGUGACUCCGCUGACGUCUCCGCUGACGUCUCCGCUGACGUCUCCGCUGACGUCUCCGCUGACGUCUCCGCCGCUCACACUGAAGACCCGGAGGACUCCAUCAUCCUCAACAUUCAGGCCCCAGACGGCGAAGCAGCCGAGCGAGAAAGCAGCCAACUGCUCCCUGAGGAGGCUCCCGAAGACUCCAAAAGCCCCAAGAAGAAGAAAAAGAAGAACAAAAAGGAUGCGAAGACGUCCGCAGAAGAUGCAUCGAUCACAGAAACACCUGAUGCUGAUGCCUCCAACGUAGAUGCCCCCAGUGAUUCUCCUCUUACCGGCAAGUCUGCCAAAAAGAAAAAGAGAAACAAAAAGAGGCAUGAGGAGGUAGCGGCAGAGAAAGAGGAAGAUAAAGAAGAGGAGGAGAAGGAGGAGGAAGUGUCUCAGGUAGCUCCACCAGAGAAGAAGAAGAAAGCAAAGAAGAGGAAAAGGGAAAGAGAUGAAGUGGAAGACGAGGAAACUCCCGACGCUCCUUCGGAAAACAAGAUUAAAAAGAAAAAGAAGCAAUUAACAGAAGUGGAGGAGGAGACGGUGGAGAACCCUGAGACAGCGGGGGAGACGAAGAAGAAGAAGAAGAGGAAGAAGAAAAAGGAAGGAGGUCAGGAAAAAGAAGAGGUGCAGUCUGAAGAAAACCCAGCAGGGGGCGACAAAGACACAGAAGAGACACCAGAGGCUGAAGAUGGAAACUCUUCUCUGGUCUCCUCAGCCAAAAAGAAAAACCGUCUCAGGAAGAAGCUCAGUCUAAAGAAGAGAUUAAGACUGCAGAAGAAAGACGGCACGAUGAUGAUGAUGAUGAUGAUGAGGAAGACGAAGAACAACAACUUGGCUGCAAGACAGAACGUCUCAGGGAAAAAGAAGCACAAACACAUCCAGGAGGAGCGUGAGGAGACGCCGCAACCAAACAAGCCAAACAAAAGACCUCCGGCCGACGGCGUCCAGGAGGACGAGACACCAAAGAGGAAGAAAAAGACGACGGUCAGCAGUGAACAAGAGGAAAGCUCGUCAAAGGAAAACAAACCUCCCAAAGCAAAGAAAGAGAAGAAGAGAUCGGUGCAAAGUGAAGAGGCAAACGAUGUGAACGCAGAGUAUCCUGAUGCUGACUCGUCUACGCUUUCUGAUGAGAAGAAGAAGAAGAAGAAAAAGAAAACGAAGGCAGUUCAAGGCGAGGAGACGACAGACGAUUCGACCCCCAUCGCUGUGAGCCCAGAAGCACCUGCUAAGAAAAACAAGAAGAACAGACUAAUGGACAGACUGGAAGAGCCAGAACCUGCUGCAGACAAACUCACUCCUCCAGCUGUUUCUACGAAAAAGAAGAAAUCCUCCAAAAAGAAGAGAACAGAUUGAAUCUGGAUUUAGUGGAGGAUGAUCCUGUCUUGGACCUGAAAGCCCGGAAACCAACAUGAGCAAUUUUAGUGCCUUUUCUAAUGAUUGUUCUGUCUCAGAUGAAAGGUUUUUGUCUUUUUUUUUUAGUCUCAGAAAAAGAUUCGUGAGUAAUGAUGAUUGUUGUCAGCCACAUUUUCACUGUCUUUUGUUCUUAAACUGUGAAUUCAACAUGGUACAUCUGCACCUGCAGUUCAGAUGCCUUCACCAGAUCCAGCACACUGCUUCAUAAUGAAUCUCUGACUCCUCGACAGACUUUUGAACCAUAAGUUUAAUUAAACAACUUAUUUCUUGCGCUGGAUGGCAUUUCAAAUAUUUCAUAGUGCAGCAAUGUAUUUGUAAAGGAAGCCAAAGUGUGGCCUUAAAUAUAGAUUUUUUCAAUCAAAAAUAACAAAACAUUGGACUAUAAUGAAGUUUAUUUUCAUUAUUGGUGAAUUUGUUCUAUAUAACAUCUAAUAAUUUGGUCAAAAUGCCCCAAAAGCCAAAGAUAUUUUACACUGGGACUUGAGAAUGUUUGGAUGUUAUUUCUACUACAGCGCAGCUCCGUUUUCAAUAAAAGCCUGUAUUGUUAAAGCUACAAUCGGCAUGUGAUCCUAACUGAUCAAAUUUUUGAGGGCAAACUUUCAUAUUCACAACCAUUUUUCUUCUUACCUUCACCGGAUGUUGAGUAAAACUCUUCUGGGUGAUGAACUGCAGACGAACCAUGUUGGGAAACUCUUCAUCUCUUAACUUCAGUUGGAAAUGAGCUUCAGGGGAGCAAGCUGUGAAAGGAAGAUUUCAAAGUGGAUCAUGUUUUUUAACAGUUCUGUCGGCAUUAAUGAACUGUUUCAGAAAUACUUUUCAGUAGGAAGCGUGGAUUUGUUUGGAGGAAGAGCUUUUUUUGUGUUACUGAUGUCUGUUUACUUUUUUCUGUCGGUCACAAGCUGUGAAGUGAGAAUCCCUCUGCACCCUGUCCAUCCUUGGAAAUUUAAGGUUUCAGUCCUCAGACCUUCUUCAACAGAGACCAGGCUGGACAGACGCAGCCAACUCAUUGUUCAGACGAGGCAAAACCAGCAAAAGGCACAUUUAGGGAAACAGGCAGCGAAUCCCACCAGCGGAGCUGGACGUCCUGCAAUGUAGAAGUCCUUCACUGCAUUUCCAAACACAUGGUUGUUUUUGGCAAGUUGCAGGGGACACAUAAGUGUAAAAAUACGACUUGCUUCAGUCAGUAGUUCUACUGUGGAAAGCAGAGGGCCAAAAACAACCGUCGGUUCAAAAGACACCACUGCAGACAAUCAUUUUCACCAAACUUUAGACACGCAGGAAUGGACUUAAUGUGAACGUACAAUGCAGGACACUCAACCCAAUCAGUCCCACUUGAGUCUCACCAGGGGGAGUUUCUGAGGACUGGAACCUUGGAUUUCCUAGCAGGGACCACGUCUCUUACCUCUGGAUAUUUCCUCCUAUACACCAACACAUCUACAGGAAGCAGUAGAUGUGCAUGAGCCUUUACAGACAUGUUUACCUUGAUGGACUUUUCAACUAUGCACUUGAUUAAAUCCCGUUGCUGUUGAUUGAGGGACUAAAAUCGUUGUUCCCGAGGACCAACAUGUUUAGACACAAAUCGAUCUGUACCAGCUUUGAUUUUACUGUUGUUCAUUCAUACUGUUACAUGUGUGUUAAGUUACUGUAAUUAUCAGUGUUUGAGCCAAAAUCCAUGUCAAAAUCAAACUGGGAAACUGAUCAUCUGAUCUGAUUAUACAUUACAAAACAGUUUUUUUUAAAGGAUAUUAAACCCAAAUGUAAAGGGUUCUGAACACAGUCACAUUGCAUAUGGUCCUCACGUUUAUUUCACAAGAGCAUAUUUCACUUUUCUCUACUCUGUGCAUCUGACUUCACACUACAGUGAAAACGCUGCAUAAAAACAAAAUUCAUCUUUAUAACAUGCAUAAACACUUGAAGCUCAAGGAUUCAAAGUCUACAUGAACCACAUUUUAAAAUAGACAACUUAAAUAUCACAUUUAUAUUCAGGAAUUAUGUUACAUUUUACAAUUUCAGGGCUGAACUGAGUAACUUGGAUUCUUACGGGGGAAAAAAAACAACAAAAAACAAACUAGCUGCACAAUUACAGACAAAAAUAACACAAAAUGAAUAUUAAUUAAUGAAUAUUAAACCUGAGGCUGAUUUCAGACAUUUUUCAAAACAAUCCCACAUUUGAUAUUGAAUAUUAUUUUGGAUACAGAAAUUUGAUUUAGGAUUCAGUUUUAUAUCUCUUAUUUUAAAUGAAUAAAUCAGUUCAUCUAAACCUUCUGGUCACAAGCGAACCAGCAGUUGUUUGUCUUUGUCUCCACACUUAAAGAGAGAAAAGUGCAGGUAGUUUAGAGUUGAUACUGACAUCGAUUCAUUAAACUUUGAGGAGAAAUGAGGCCUUUCAAACUCUCGGUGUCUCUGUUUGCUCACCGGUUAUAACAAAGCAGCCGUCUCUCUCGGCUUUUUCCCUGAAACAGAAAUCCUUAAAUUCAACAUGUUGGGCAGUUUGUGAGCACAACUUAAUUGUCUCAACUCCAAACAACACGUGUGGUUUUUCUUAAAAUAACAAAGCUGCAUUUUACAGGCUCUGUAUUUUAUAGAUAUUCUCCAGGAAUCCUUCCUUGUAAUCUCUGAAGAAUUCAAUGCAUUUUAGGUGUAAAUUGUGAGCUUAGUUAGCUACAAUUUGGAAAUAAUUAAAAGGUAAAUGGAAGUAUUAAGUGAAAGAACGUUAAUACGCUGGUGACAACAGCCAUCUGAGUUUCCCUAAAACACCAACAAAAAUUCUACUUAAGCUACAAAAUGUUCCACACUGAGUCAGUUUAUUUACUUUGUGAAUAAAUAUGACGAAAGCAGAACAGCUGAUUCUGUAAAUGCCACUAAAGCAGAUCUAUAAGACAGCAAGAAUUAAAAUUAAGCAGUUUUAUGUCCUGAUUUCUCUGGUAAACUUCAUAAACUUGUAGAUGUCCGAUCAUUUUUCACUUACCUACUACAGAAUUAAACUAGAACUGCAGCAGCUAACUCCAUUUCUCUUAGAAUUAAGACCAAAUUGUUCCGGACCUACUUCACAUUUACAGCUAAGAUCAGCCAAGUGUUGGAAAGUGGGAGGAAAGUUCCCUGAAAAAUACAAGACCCAUAAAAACCGUGAAACAGCAGAUUAGAGGGGAUAGGUUUGAUUAAAUAAAUACUGCACAUGUAAAUGUUGUUCAUGUUUUCUGCUAAAUGUUUUUCACAUUUCUGAUCACUGUUUCUUCCAUUAAAACAUUUUGUCUCUAAACUUUACUUUUGUUUCAUUCAGCAAAUAACCGUUGACAUGUGACGCAUUCAUCAAAAUAAAAACGUGAAUCAACAGGGUAAAGUGUAACAUCAUGUUAAACUGCUUUAAACAAUACUUAAGGUACAAAAUUUUAAAGUUUGUAUGUGAUUUUUUUGUCGUGUGCAGCUCCUUCUGAGUUUUUCAGGACAACAAAAGGAAGUUUUCGCUCUUAAAACUGAAAGUCACUUGUUAAAAAUUGCAAAAAUUCAAUAAAAUUUUAACUAUUUUACAGUCAAAACAACUGGCUGUAAGAUUUUUCAAGACAUCAAGUGAAAACCUUCACUAAAAGCCUCGUUUAAAGCCUGUAGAAGAAAUACAAAGUCUUACAUUUUUGUCUUUUCUGCAAAAAAUGUCUGCAUUCUGUCACAAAUGAUUGAACAUAUUUGGUUGAAAAAAAAAAUCACAAUUCUUGCUGAAUAAUUUUUUUUUCCAACACAGAACAAUUGCAAAAUAAUUUGGGUUUAUCUGUCUAUUUCUAUCUGGGUCCACAUCACAUUUAUUUAAUUCACCAGGAAUUAUUGUUGUAUACAGUGUAUUGGUGAAACUUGGCAUUCAUAUCAGUUUUAUGUGGUAGAAACCUUUUCUUGAUUCUAGCAAAACAAUUAUUCAAAUGUGUGAAUUUCUUGAUAGAAAAUUACAAACAUUCUUACUGCACUUGUAGAUUUUUCGCUUGUUUUACAGAAAAAAAUGGUUUGAUUAUUUUUUUUGCCGCUCCAGUUCCAUGCAUAAUAACGAUGGUUCUCUUCUGUUUUUAAUUUAGAUCCCCUUAAACUCUGAAGCAUUUAUGCUGACAGUGACACAAACAAGCCACCUUUUCCAUCAAAAUAUAUACAUCUAUAAACUUAAGUCUUCAUUUUGAAUUCAUCAACACUAAAUGUGUUUUCUGUCCUGCUGAUGAAUGAAACAUUCAGCUUGGUGUGCAUAAAGUAGAUUUGCAUGGUUAGAUAAGUCUUCUUGGACUUUUUUUUUUGCAAUAUUUAGAUGAAACGACACAAAAUUGAAAUUAAUUGGCUAAAAAUCUAGUAAACAAGACUAUUGAUAGUGAUUUAAUUCAAACUGAAAUCUGACUUCCUUUUUAGUUUAGAGUGGUUUGGAAUAGGAGUUUAGUUUUGACUGACAUUUAUUCUAAUAAGUUUAAGUAUAAAGAAGUUACAAUACCAUCACUGUUCCCUCUAAGCUGCGCGCGUGCGCAAUUGCGCACUGCUGACACGGUCUCCGCGCACAGAAAAUCUGCGCUGCGCGCAAAAAAAAAAUCCAACCUAAAUUGUAAAUAAAAUAAACACGUAACAAUUCAUUCUGUGCUAUUUUUCAAUGCGAGUCAGUGAGUGACCGGUGACUGGCUGCUGCAGCCAAUGAUGCGAUUCACAUACGUAUUUACCAUAGACUGUAUAUAAUGGUAUUUACGCAGCUAAUCAACGUCAGGCGUCCUUAUGUGUAGCCACCUUGUUCUCAUAGAUAUGAAUGAGUAGAUAGGACACGCCCCUUGAGCUGCGUGCUACAGCGAGGCUAAGCUAGUGAGGGCAAAGUUUCAGUGCAUUCCGUUGAUGUAGACGGCGUGAAAACGGAAACAAGAAGUAUGCCAGCUCACUGUGCAGCAUACAGUUACACACUACGUCGUACGAUUGAGACAAGGAAACUUGGAAUGACUUUUCAUAGGUAAGAAUAGUUUUUGGCUCUUUUUUCAUUAUGAAAUCUUGUUGAGAGCUUCCAGUCUAUGAGAGCUAACUAGUUAGCCACUAGCAAAACGCUAAGGCGAGCUAGCAGCUUGACAACCAAAUACCAGACGAUUAAUAGUAGCUGUAGUAUAGUUGUACAAGCAGUAGUAGUAAUACUAAAAGUACAAGCAGCAGUAGUAGUAUAAACAGCUGUUAGAGUCGUAGAAGUAGUAUCAGAAUUUGUAAUAGUAUUACAAGUUGUAGUAGCAGUGCCAGUAUCAGCAGCAGUAGUUAAUAGUCACAUUGCUAUUACUACCACCAAUACUACCAAUAGUAGUUAUAAAGCCUAACUCAUAUAUAUCCAGAUUACCAUCUAUGUUCUUCCUCCAAACCCAUUUUAUGAUUGGGAUUACAGGCAGUUCUUUAGGACUGCUCUCAAAUAAUUGAAAUGUUACUAAACAAGGUUAUACUUAUCAAAUUAAAUAGCUCUGGUCUCCAGUAUAUUGGCAAAUUCGGUUCUUUGUACUUCAUUUAUUAGCAUGAUUUCUUUUUAAUAUGUUGUGUACAGACUUAAUUACUUCUCUGUCUACUUUUCUUACUCCAUGUAGGUUUCCCAGAGACUAUGGUUUGAGGAGGAAUUGGAAGUUUGUCGGCUUAGACCUGGUGUCAUUCCAUCAGUGUUAAACUUCCCGGCUCAUCUUGGAAGAGUACGUGCCAGAAAGACCACGACCAAGCAGCCUUGAGAUCUUAGGCAGCGUCUCCCUGAGGUCCCUCUCUAUCUCCCCACACAUCCACCAACCACUGGAACACAUCUCCAAAGUUGUGCCGGGCCAGCUCAGCUUCCCCUCAGAAGAAGUUCCACCACCUGCCAGAUGAAGGAGCCUUUUGAGAGGCAGCUGGCAUCGUGAUUGGACUGUACUUUGGUCUGUUCCAAUCCAGCUUCAGCUCCAGAGACGGCAGGCGGGACGAGUCAACGGAGGCCUGGUGGACGAAGGCAUGAAGCUGAGUACAAUCCAGAAAACAACAGAGGAGGAGUGCAGAGGCCCAGGGCCAGAACAAACAGAGUAGCAUCGUAUGUCUCUUAGAAAACAUCAUAUAUCACGAUAUGGAUUAUUUUAUAUCACGAUAACGAUAUAUAUGAUGAUAUACCACAACAAAGUACGUUUUCAGUUAUUCUCUGAAAAGUUUGACAAAAAUUUCAUUGCUUACUUUUCUCCAUGAAACUUUAACCUGUUGCUAGGGCUGGACCCGAAUAUUCGGUCCCCAUGGUGGUAUGCGGAUAUUAAUUUUGAGGUCCGAAUAUUCGCCCCCUCCUACCUCCACCCCCACCCGGCUCUUUCCUCCGUUAGCUCACCGCCUCUGACGUCACGGACCGAACCGAAUAUUCAAGUCAUUCCUCCGUCCGUCCGUCAAAUCCCCCCCCCCCGGACGUUAAGGAGGGGGACCGAAUAUCCGGAGCCCAGAAACUGCUAUUCGGGCCAGCCCUACCCUCCAUCGUUCAGCACUCAUGAGUUAAGUAAUAUAAAGCAUGUCGCAAACCCGCGUGAGAAUCAAAGAACGUAAAGCAGCGUCAUGUCGCAAAAACCAAAAGACAGAGUUCCUUUGCGAAAAAUCUCUUUUUUAUUCUUCUUUAUUUUCACGUAUAUAAACUUAGAAUAUGCAUAGUGACAAGAAAACACUAAUACAAUCGUCGCAGGCUAUUUAAUGAUAAAUUUGCUGUAAUAAUUGAUAAAAUUAGGUUAGAAACGAUAGAAACGAUAGAAGAGAAAUGGCACGAUAGACACUUUUCUAGCGUUCUCACUAUAUGUAUCGUCAUAUCGCCCAGCACUACAUCAUAGUAUAGCCUUUGGUAUGAAAAAACGCCGUCAUAUACAUCGUAUAUUGUACAUAUAACAAGUCAAAGGAAAGAGACAUACAUUGUAGAAUUGUAGUAAUUGUGGGCUGACUGAUUUACUGAUUAGCAGUAUUUUAUUUUUUACUGAUUUAUGGUAAUAAAUACAUUUAAAAAUGGCGCUA